Molecule: ribosomal RNA, 216 nt
Filed under: Vibrio parahaemolyticus
Lineage: Bacteria; Pseudomonadati; Pseudomonadota; Gammaproteobacteria; Vibrionales; Vibrionaceae
Also listed under: 1 other name
Description: partial 16S ribosomal RNA
Rfam family: Bacterial small subunit ribosomal RNA
Source: RNAcentral
AAAUUGAAGAGUUUGAUCAUGGCUCAGAUUGAACGCUGGCGGCAGGCCUAACACAUGCAAGUCGAGCGGAAACGAGUUAUCUGAACCUUCGGGGAACGAUAACGGCGUCGAGCGGCGGACGGGUGAGUAAUGCCUAGGAAAUUGCCCUGAUGUGGGGGAUAACCAUUGGAAACGAUGGCUAAUACCGCAUGAUGCCUACGGGCCAAAGAGGGGGAC